Molecule: long non-coding RNA, 438 nt
Organism: Asparagus officinalis (garden asparagus)
Lineage: Eukaryota; Viridiplantae; Streptophyta; Magnoliopsida; Asparagales; Asparagaceae
Exons: 4
Source: RefSeq, a predicted model, not a curated record
UUCAAAAGGACUCCUCCCCUAACUCAAACUCGUUUCAAAACCCUUCAUAAGAGUUCUUUGAGUCUUUCCCUUUCUUCUUUCUCAAUUUGGAUUUGAGCAAAGGGGGAGAUUCAAACCUAGGGUUUGUGGUUCUUCCGACGUGAGUUCGAGCUUAAGUAUCAGGUGGAGUUCCUGGCUUUGGAUUUCGAUUUCAGGGUCUCAGCUCUUUCCUUUGACUCAGAUUCAAGUUUUGUUUAGUGGAUUUCCUUAACUCAGAUCACCCUCUUCGCGAGUUCAGAUUAGCCAUGUCGACGAGGAGAUCACGCUUCCCGAGGAGCCGCUCAGCCACUCAGUCACCUGAGAGGGAGCUUCUAUCUUUUACCAGUUUCACUAACUUGACUAUCGGAGAAACCACAGGGGAACCGGUCUCUGCCCUCUCACAAGUUCUUCUUGUCUGUG